GACGAACGCUGGCGGCGUGCUUAACACAUGCAAGUCGAACGGAAAGGCCCUGCUUUUGUGGGGUGCUCGAGUAGCGAACGGGUGAGUAACACGUGAGUAACCUGCCCUUGACUUUGGGAUAACUUCAGGAAACUGGGGCUAAUACCGGAUAGGAGCUCCUGCUGCAUGGUGGGGGUUGGAAAGUUUCGGCGGUUGGGGAUGGACUCGCGGCUUAUCAGCUUGUUGGUGGGGUAGUGGCUUACCAAGGCUUUGACGGGUAGCCGGCCUGAGAGGGUGACCGGCCACAUUGGGACUGAGAUACGGCCCAGACUCCUACGGGAGGCAGCAGUGGGGAAUAUUGCACAAUGGGCGGAAGCCUGAUGCAGCAACGCCGCGUGCGGGAUGACGGCCUUCGGGUUGUAAACCGCUUUCGCCUGUGGCGAAGCGUGAGUGACGGUAAUGGGUAAAGAAGCACCGGCUAACUACGUG
This 468-nucleotide ribosomal RNA is filed under the name uncultured bacterium. Its description in RNAcentral is "partial 16S ribosomal RNA". It matches the Rfam family "Bacterial small subunit ribosomal RNA", at positions 28 to 507 of the family's 1533-position model. The record is from RNAcentral.